Molecule: long non-coding RNA, 201 nt
Filed under: Ovis aries (sheep)
Lineage: Eukaryota; Metazoa; Chordata; Mammalia; Artiodactyla; Bovidae
Description: lncRNA (ENSOARG00000026605.1)
Source: RNAcentral
AUGUGUGAAGAGCAGAGACCAUGGUUUUUAAGGGCUGUCCUCAGAAGCUUUGUUAUGAAGGGGAAGCAGAGGCAAGAGUUGAUUAGAAAGAGCAGAUUGUCAUUACGGAACUUUCCGACAUCAGAAAAGUACAGAAAGCACAGAAGUUCAACAACAAGAAAAAGAAAACAUGACAAGUUGAGUGCAAGGAUUUCCUUUUAA